This 550-nucleotide ribosomal RNA is filed under the name uncultured bacterium. Its description in RNAcentral is "bacterial SSU rRNA". It matches the Rfam family "Bacterial small subunit ribosomal RNA", at positions 355 to 896 of the family's 1533-position model. The record is from RNAcentral.
UGGGGAAUAUUGGACAAUGGGCGCACGNCUGAUCCAGCUAUACCGCGUGGGUGAAGAAGGCCUUCGGGUUGUAAAGCCCUUUUGUUGGGAAAGAAAUCCAGCCGGCUAAUACCUGGUUGGGAUGACGGUACCCAAAGAAUAAGCACCGGCUAACUUCGUGCCAGCAGCCGCGGUAAUACGAAGGGUGCAAGCGUUACUCGGAAUUACUGGGCGUAAAGCGCGCGUAGGUGGUCGUUUAAGUCCGUUGUGAAAGCCCUGGGCUCAACCUGGGAACUGCAGUGGAUACUGGGCGACUAGAGUGUGGUAGAGGGUAGCGGAAUUCCUGGUGUAGCAGUGAAAUGCGUAGAGAUCAGGAGGAACAUCCAUGGCGAAGGCAGCUACCUGGACCAACACUGACACUGAGGCACGAAAGCGUGGGGAGCAAACAGGAUUAGAUACCCUGGCAGUCCACGCCCUAAACGAUGCGAACUGGAUGUUGGGUGCAAUUUGGCACGCAGUAUCGAAGCUAACGCGUUAAGUUCGCCGCCUGGGGAGUACGGUCGCAAGACUG